Molecule: non-coding RNA, 46 nt
Organism: Anopheles christyi
Lineage: Eukaryota; Metazoa; Arthropoda; Insecta; Diptera; Culicidae
Source: Rfam
AAAAAAGCUUUUUUCAAAGCUACCGGCGAUUUGAAAUUAUUUUUCU